This 393-nucleotide ribosomal RNA is filed under the name uncultured bacterium. Its description in RNAcentral is "bacterial SSU rRNA". It matches the Rfam family "Bacterial small subunit ribosomal RNA", at positions 975 to 1367 of the family's 1533-position model. The record is from RNAcentral.
CUGGGUUAAAUCCACUAGGAGUUGGCAGAGAUGCCGAUUUGCCCUUCGGGGAGCUAGUGAGACGGUGCUGCAUGGCUGUCGUCAGCUCGUGUCGUGAGAUGUUGGGUUAAGUCCCGCAACGAGCGCAACCUCUGUCGUUAGUUGCCAGCCUUAAGUGGGGCACUCUAACGAGACUGCCGACGUCAAGUCGGAGGAAGGUGGAGAUGACGUCAAGUCAUCAUGGCCCUUAUGUCCAGGGCUACACACGUGCUACAAUGGUUGCUACAAAGCGUUGCGAACCCGCGAGGGGAAGCCAAUCGCAAAAAAGCAACCUCAGUACAGAUAGGAGUCUGCAACUCGACUCCUUGAAGUCGGAAUCGCUAGUAAUCGCUGAUCAGCAGGCAGCGGUGAAUG